RNAcentral lists this transfer RNA (77 nucleotides) under Acidobacteriota bacterium. Its description in RNAcentral is "Acidobacteria bacterium tRNA-Arg". It matches the Rfam family "tRNA". Rfam says of the family: Transfer RNA (tRNA) molecules are approximately 80 nucleotides in length. Their secondary structure includes four short double-helical elements and three loops (D, anti-codon, and T loops). Further hydrogen bonds mediate the characteristic L-shaped molecular structure. tRNAs have two regions of fundamental functional importance: the anti-codon, which is responsible for specific mRNA codon recognition, and the 3' end, to which the tRNAs corresponding amino acid is attached (by aminoacyl-tRNA synthetases). tRNAs cope with the degeneracy of the genetic code in two manners: having more than one tRNA (with a specific anti-codon) for a particular amino acid; and 'wobble' base-pairing, i.e. permitting non-standard base-pairing at the 3rd anti-codon position. The record is from RNAcentral. RNAcentral also lists the same sequence under 1 other name. Lineage: Bacteria; Pseudomonadati; Acidobacteriota.
GCCGCCAUAGCUCAGGGGACGAGAGCAGGCCCCUUCUAAGGGCACGGUCCUCGGUUCGAAUCCGAGUGGCGGUUCCA